Struthio camelus australis is the source of this 1658-nucleotide long non-coding RNA. NCBI's taxonomy places the organism in Eukaryota, Metazoa, Chordata, Aves, Struthioniformes, Struthionidae. The record is from Ensembl.
AUGUUGCCUUCCAAGUUUCUUUCUGAGCAUUGACUCUAGUAACCCUGUUAUAUAUUUUUUGUUGCAGCUGUGGACAGCUGUGUUCUGCUGCAGCACAGUGGCUGCUGUUCUCGUGCUGGCCAACAGCUGACUCCACUACCCUGAAAUGCACAGAGGCAUGAGAUGUUGAGCAGUAUGUUAUCCGUGCUGGAGCACAGGGGUCUUCUCCCUUGGAGGUUAGUCGUACAGGUACUGGAAAAAGCACAGUUAUGCCAUUACUGGAUGGUCUUCAAAAUCCUGUCCUUCUGAGCUAACCCAACCAAAGCUGGUGGCAUGAAGGAUUUCUGCUGAACAUCACUGGCAACUGGAUCAAGGCUUUUUUGACUCCUGUCUAUCAUACUCUGUCAUUCCAAAAAUGAGGCUCCGCCUGGAGAAAAAUAGACUGCUAUUUGCAGCAAGCCAGCAGGCAUAUAACCAACAACAUACUGAAAAGGUUGCAUAUGUAAAAUGCUCGGUUUUGAAGAACAAGGCCUGAGGUCCUUAUAUAGUCUAAGAGCCUUCUGGAUUUGGCCUAAGUUCAGAACCUGGCUUUCUUUUUGUGCAAAAUAAGUCCUUGGAAGUCCAGUCAAGGCUUUCCUAAAGCAGAGCUUCUUACAGUUUAAAAUUAAUAGCCAGUAGUAAGUCAUUAUGAUUUUACGUAACAAACCAGCUAUAAGAGUUUGCAGCCAGUUCUUAAACUUCCAGGAACUGUGCUGUGGGAUAUAAUGUUUCUAUAGAGAUCUUCUGUUGUGUCACAAAAUAGGUCUACAAAUAGGCAGCAGGGUGUCCCUUCUUUCACAGUCCUUCUUGUAUCUCUUUGCCAUAUAUUACAGUGGUGCCUCAUGGAAUACACAGAUGUCUUCCCAUAACUGUAUUUUUUAAAGAUGUUUCCAUUCCUUCCAAAAAGAUGCAGACUAGAGAUUGAAAGAGAAGCUGCAAUCUUCAGUUUUCCAAGGGCGCCUUGCAUACAAAAAUCCUGUGAGCUCAGAAAGAUUUUUUGGGCAUGGGUUUUAAUCCGGAGCUUUACGGCAGCCCUGCAGAUAAAACCUUCACUUAAAUGUGCCUUCUGUGGCCCAUACCCAUCUUACCAGAUAUAACUGUUGCCGAAACCUCCUCUCUAUGUAGACAGACCCCUGGAAGCUUUGCCAUUCCCUGUGGGAGCUCCCUAUGCCCUUGGCAUCCUCCACGAUGGCAGAGCACCCAUUUAAGAAGAAAGGAUUGUGCUAGUUCUCAAGAUUUCAAAGAAACUCUUGCAAACAUGUAACCCAGAGCUUGGGCUUGCAGCUGCCUGGCCGGUGGCUGGGAAGUAGGAGCUCCAAGCUUUGUGCCGCUUUGUGGCUGUUAACUGUGGAGUUUGCAGAUGACAUACUAGGCAUCGAAAACAAACCAAUCAUGUGUCUUUAAUUUAGCAUUCAACUAAGUUAAGCUGGAGCUCCUGGAGUUCAUCUUCAGAUUGGAAAAAAAAACCAAAAACCAAAAAACAAAACUUUCGUUCUUGAAAUGCCAACAGAUCUAGUAUAGAAUUUGUAUCCAAGUGCCACAGAUGGCAAGCACCAUGCUGCAAAGCAUGCACAAGCAUAUGCUCGUCGCUUGGAUGGUGAGCGUGUACUAUGCUCAUACUUGGAAAAGAAGUGUUCUAU